AUGGGCGCAAGCCUGAUGCAGCGACGCCGCGUGAGGGAUGACGGCCUUCGGGUUGUAAACCUCUUUCAGCAGGGAAGAAGCGAAAGUGACGGUACCUGCAGAAGAAGCGCCGGCUAACUACGUGCCAGCAGCCGCGGUAAUACGUAGGGCGCAAGCGUUGUCCGGAAUUAUUGGGCGUAAAGAGCUCGUAGGCGGUUUGUCGCGUCUGCUGUGAAAGCCCGGGGCUAAACUCCAGGGUGUGCAGUGGGUACGGGCAGGAUAGAGUGCAGUAGGGGAGACUGAAAUUCCUGGUGUAGCGGGAAAAUGCGCAGAUAUCAGGAGGAACACCGAUGGCGAAGGCAGGUCUCUGGGCUGUUACUGACGCUGAGGAGCGAAAGCAUGGGGAGCGAACAGGAUUAGAUACCCUGGUAGUCCAUGCCGUAAACGUUGGGCACUAGGUGUGGGGGACAUUCCACGUUUUCCGCGCCGUAGCUAACGCAUUAAGUGCCCCGCCUGGGGAGUACGGCCGCAAGGCUAAAACUCAAAGGAAUUGACGGGGGCCCGCACAAGCGGCGGAGCAUGCGGAUUAAUUCGAUGCAACGCGAAGAACCUUACCAAGGCUUGACAUACACCGGAUGGUUCCAGAGAUGGUUCGUCCCUUCGGGGCUGGUGUACAGGUGGUGCAUGGUUGUCGUCAGCUCGUGUCGUGAGAUGUUGGGUUAAGUCCCGCAACGAGCGCAACCCUCGUUCUAUGUUGCCAGCACGUGAUGGUGGGGACUCAUAGGAGACUGCCGGGGUCAACUCGGAGGAAGGUGGGGAUGACGUCAAAUCAUCAUGCCCCUUAUGUCUUGGGCUUCACGCAUGCUACAAUGGCCGGUACAAUGGGUUGCGAUACUGUGAGGUGGAGCUAAUCCCAAAAAGCCGGUCUCAGUUCGGAUUGGGGUCUGCAACUCGACCCCAUGAAGUCGGAGUCGCUAGUAAUCGCAGAUCAGCAACGCUGCGGUGAAUACGUUCCCGGGCCUUGUACACACCGCCCGUCAAGUCACGAAAGUCGGUAACACCCGAAGCCGAUGGCCUAACCCUUUGUGGGGGAGUCGUCGAAG
This 1082-nucleotide ribosomal RNA is filed under the name Rothia kristinae. RNAcentral describes it as "bacterial SSU rRNA". It matches the Rfam family "Bacterial small subunit ribosomal RNA", at positions 371 to 1461 of the family's 1533-position model. The record is from RNAcentral. Lineage: Bacteria; Bacillati; Actinomycetota; Actinomycetes; Micrococcales; Micrococcaceae.